Long non-coding RNA from Vombatus ursinus (common wombat), 391 nucleotides. RefSeq lists it as uncharacterized. The transcript has 3 exons. The record is from RefSeq and is a predicted model, not a curated record. Lineage: Eukaryota; Metazoa; Chordata; Mammalia; Diprotodontia; Vombatidae.
GGAAGGCAUUUAGUGCUUUGGGUAGAUCCUCUCUGAAAGAUUUGUGGAGAAAUAAGGGAUAUAAGAUUUAGAGGUAGAAGGGACCUUAUCUAGCCUCAUCUCAUCACUUUGCAGAUAAAGAAACCGAGACCCAGGAGAUGAAACGGGUUACAGGUUACCCUAUGCAGGAAGACCAUGGAAGUCACAAAAACUAGAAGCAACUCAGGACUCAAUUGGCCCAACUCCUCAGGUUGGUUUGCCGUAUUUGGAUAUACAUAAAGAAAGUGAGGCCAGAGGAGGUUAACGACUUUCCUGAGGACAUACAAGAUAGUAAUCUCCAUGUUGGCCCAUCCUGUGCUACUCCUAUCCAUGCUCUACCAUAUGUGUGCUAUAGGGGGUCAGGGGUGCUGGG